ACGCUGGCGGCAUGCUUUACACAUGCAAGUCGGACGGCAGCACAGAGAAGCUUGCUUCUUGGGUGGCGAGUGGCGAACGGGUGAGUAACAUAUCGGAACGUACCGAGUAAUGGGGGAUAACUAAUCGAAAGAUUAGCUAAUACCGCAUAUUCUCUGAGGAGGAAAGCAGGGGACCUUCGGGCCUUGCGUUAUUCGAGCGGCCGAUAUCUGAUUAGCUAGUUGGUGGGGUAAAGGCCUACCAAGGCGACGAUCAGUAGCGGGUCUGAGAGGAUGAUCCGCCACACUGGGACUGAGACACGGCCCAGACUCCUACGGGAGGCAGCAGUGGGGAAUUUUGGACAAUGGGCGCAAGCCUGAUCCAGCCAUGCCGCGUGUCUGAAGAAGGCCUUCGGGUUGUAAAGGACUUUUGUCAGGGAAGAAAAGGCUGUUGCUAAUACCGACAGUUGAUGACGGUACCUGAAGAAUAUGCACCGGCUAACUACGUGCCAGCAGCCGCGGUAAUACGUAGGGUGCGAGCGUUAAUCGGAAUUACUGGGCGUAAAGCGAGCGCAGACGGUUACUUAAGCAGGAUGUGAAAUCCCCGGGCUCAACCUGGGAACUGCGUUCUGAACUGGGUGACUAGAGUGUGUCAGAGGGAGGUAGAAUUCCACGUGUAGCAGUGAAAUGCGUAGAGAUGUGGAGGAAUACCGAUGGCGAAGGCAGCCUCCUGGGAUAACACUGACGUUCAUGCUCGAAAGCGUGGGUAGCAAACAGGAUUAGAUACCCUGGUAGUCCACGCCCUAAACGAUGUCAAUUAGCUGUUGGGCAACUUGAUUGCUUAGUAGCGUAGCUAACGCGUGAAAUUGACCGCCUGGGGAGUACGGUCGCAAGAUUAAAACUCAAAGGAAUUGACGGGGACCCGCACAAGCGG
RNAcentral lists this ribosomal RNA (910 nucleotides) under uncultured bacterium. RNAcentral describes it as "bacterial SSU rRNA". It matches the Rfam family "Bacterial small subunit ribosomal RNA", at positions 33 to 932 of the family's 1533-position model. The record is from RNAcentral.